Long non-coding RNA from Equus caballus (horse), 3648 nucleotides. RefSeq lists it as uncharacterized. NCBI's taxonomy places the organism in Eukaryota, Metazoa, Chordata, Mammalia, Perissodactyla, Equidae. The record is from RefSeq and is a predicted model, not a curated record.
GGUGGCCUGGCCCAGGCAGCCCCCUGGGCACAUUGGGGACCCCCUGCCCACCAGCCUGGCAUCUCUCCCCCUCCCCAUGCUAUGGGCGCUGCGUGUGGCUAGGGGACUGGAUGUCCCUGCCCCACGGCAGAGCCGCCUCCAACCUUUCUUCUUUCCCCCGUCACUUCCCUAGGGUGUGCUCCCCUUCUGACCCCCAGCCGGGCAGUCAGAGUGUGUGUGUGUGUGUGUGUGUGUGUGUGAGUGUGUGUGUGCCCACGUGGGGAUGCCAGAAGAAAGGGCCCCACGUGGGAUGGUGUGGGCAGGGCUCCUCCAGGGUCUUAGGGGCUGUGAUUCCCAAAGCAAACCCCAUGGGAGGGUUGAGGCUGGCCCAGGAGGCCGGAACCCUCUCUUCUCCUCUGGACUCUGCCCCCCUCGUGGGUCCCAGACCAGACCCUGUCUCUCCUGGUCUCAGUUUCCCAACCGCCCCCGGAGGGGCUGGUGGUGAAACUGCCUCCGCCUGGCUCCGCGGAAGCAGCGGGGACUCUGUCCCCGCGUGGGUGUGGCGGGGCCGCGUUUGGGGGCGCUCGCGCCUCCCUCGGCAGCGGCAGGACCCCCAGGGGAGCUGGCCGCCGGCGCGCACGUGACCUCGCCCCGCCGCGCGCACACGCCGGACCAACGGCUCCGGGCGGGGCUGGGAGCCAGUUCCAGUCGUCGUCUAACUGCUCCGUGACUGUACGUUGGUUGGGGCGUUGGAAGACUUCCUGGAUCCCUGUUGGGGCUGGUCGAGCGGGCUCUGGGGUGGAGAACUGAGCUGGGGGCUCCUGUCUCGGAGCAGCCUGCGCCCAGAGGCGGUUUCGGAAGUUUCCAACGCCGCAAGGACUGGCCUCCGAGCCCAGGAGAGGCCUUCACCCAGAGCUCACCCUCUAAGCCGGACUCAGGGGACACUGUGACCUCUUUGCUCUGCAUCCUGGUCCCUAGUCUGGAGGUCUGCUCGUUCGUGUAUGGAGGGACCAUCUGGAGACCUCCGUCGCCUUGGUGAAGGAGAGGGGACCCCGCCCCCCCGCAGGCCUGCAGGAGUCUGGGUGCUGACCACAUUGUUGGCUGGCCUCACUGUGUGAGCCUUCUGUUCCACGUUUUGGCCUGUUACAGCAUCAGUGCCAGCUCUAAAACAAGCUCCAAAGCUAGUGCCGGCUCCAGCGCCAGCUUGACCUCCAGUUCCGGAGCCAGCACCACCUCCAGUGUCAGAUCUCACACGAGCUCUAGUACCAAAUCUGGAGUUAGAGCCAUUUCUGCAUGAGCCCAACAGCUAAAUGUAGUACUGCCUACAGAGCUAGAGCCAACUCCAGCACUAGCUUUUGCAGCAGUUCCAGCUCCAGUGCCACUUCCAAAUUUAGAGCCAGUGCCAGCUGCAGAGUCACAGCCAGCUCUAUCACCAGAUCUAGCAUGAACUCCGGAGCCAGAACUGGUUCCAACAUCAGCUCAUGCAAAAGCCCUAGAACUACAGCCAGCUCCAGAACUAUCUCUAGCACCAGCUCCAGGCCGAGAACCAUCUUCAACACCAACUCUAUCACCAACUGCAGAGAUAGAGGCAGCUCUAUCAUCAACUUAAUUCUCGGCUCCAGACCAGCUCUAGAGUUUGAAUCAGAGUUAACACAAAUUCCAGAGUAACAACAACAGGAACCAAACUAGAGCCUGCUCCAGUACCAGCUCUGGCAACACUCUAGAGCCACAAGCAGCUCUAGAGCUAAAGCCAUCUCUAGAGCUAGUGUCAGUGCUAGAGCUAGCUCUAACACCAGCUUCCAAGCUAGAAAAAGCUCCAGUGCCAGCUCCAGAGCUAGAGCCAACUCCAGCACAAUGUCAAAAGCUAGAGCUAGCUUCAAUACCAGCUCCAGCACUCAAGAGGCUGAGUGAUCUCUGGACCCAGUUCCAGUCAAAGCUCCAGACUCAGAGCCAAUUCCAGCACCAGCUUUAGAGACUGAUCCACUGCUAGAUCCAGUUCCACUACCAGCUCCAGAGCUAGAGCCAUCACUGGCUCCAUAGCCCGAGCCAGCUCCAGCACCAGCUCUACCAACAGCUCCAGCACCGGAGUUCAAACCAGCUCCACAGUUAGAGCCAACUCCACUUGCAACACUUGCAUCAACUCCCGAGAUAGAGACAGCUCCAGCGUCAGCUCCACUGCUGGUUUCAUUUCAGGGCUGGUGUUCUUCCAUGAGCUAGAGCUAGCUUGAACACUAGCGAAGCCCCAACUCCAGAGAUAGGGGCAACUCUAUCGCCAACUCCUGUGCCAGCCCCAGCGACAGUUCUAGUGCUCACUUUAGAGUAAAAAAGCCAAUUUAGAGCCAGUGCCAAGGAGGAGUCAGCUCCAGCCCCAGCUCUAGCAUUGGCUCCAGAGUUAGAGCCAUUCUUGGCAUCAGCUCCAGAGCUAGAGUCAGCACCAAGUUCAUAGCUAGAGCCUGCUUCAGCAGCAGUUCCAGAACCAGCUUCAGAGCUAGAACCCCACAAGUGCCGGCUUCUGCACCAGCUCCAGAGCAAGAGCUGGCUUGAAUACCAGUAGCAGACUUAGAGCCAGUGCCAGCUGGGGAGAAAGAACCAGCUCCAGCAACAGCCUAACGCCAACAUCAGAGCUAAACCAUGCUCUGGUACCAACUCUCCCACCGAUUUCAGAGAUAGAGGCAGCUCUAUCACCAACUCCUGUUCCAGAGCCCGCCCCGACACCAAUUCCAGAAGUGGAGCCAGCACCAGAGCUACAAACAGCCCCACCACCAGAGCCGGGACUCGCUAUUCAACUAACUAGAGCCACAAGAACCAGAUCUAGCACCAGAACCAGAGUUAGAGCCAGCUCCAAAGCCAGAGCCAGCCCCAGCCCCAGCACAAAAGAUCAAGCCAGCUCUGGCGCCAGCUUCGGAACUAGAGCCAGCGCCAGCCCAACAGCCAGAGCCGGCUCCAGCACCUGCUCUCACCCCAGGGACAGCUCCUGCACAGGUCCACGGCUAGGUCCAUCACUAACUCCAGCACCAGCAGUAAGAGUAGCUCUAUAGCUACAGCCAGCUCCAGUAGCAGAUCCACAGCUAAAGCCACUCCAGCACCAGCUCUAGAGCCAGAGCCAGCUACAGCAAUAGCUUGAGCACCAGCUCCAGUGCCAGAGUUAGAGCCAGCUCAAGAGCCAUAUCACACUGCAGAACCAGGUCUGCACUGUCUCUGGAGGUAGAUCCAGCUCCAGCACCAGCUCGAGAAGGAGUCCAGGACAUCACCCUCGUGGGUGGGGCAGGCCUGGGGCUAAGGGGCAGGACAUUCCCUGCCAGGCAGGUCACUCCCAGGUUGCCUCGACUUCCAGCUCCUCCUCCUCUCUCCCUCCAUGAGGUCUCAGCCCCAGGGUGUCCGCAGCACUGCUUUCCCAGACAGGGCUCAAAGUUGACAAAGAGAACUCGGGUGUUGGAAACUGUGGCCAAUACCUUAAAAACUCUAUACAUUUUGGCCCAGAACUCCACUUCAUGGAUUCUGUCCUAAAUAGAGAUUUCUGGAUGCAGAUGUUCCCUUCAGCACGAUGCUGAGAGUGAAAAAUUGGAAAUGGCCUGUGUUCCACAGCAGGGCUCUUUUUUUUUUUUUUUUAUUGAGUUAUUGAUAGGUUACAAUCUUGUGAAAUUUCAAUUGUACAUUAAUGUUUGUCAG